GCUGGCGUAGCUCAGUUGGUAGAGCAACUGAUUUGUAAUCAGUAGGUCGCUGGUUCAAGUCCAGUCGCCAGCUCCA
Molecule: transfer RNA, 76 nt
Filed under: Candidatus Babela massiliensis
Lineage: Bacteria; Candidatus Babeliae; Candidatus Babeliales; Candidatus Babeliaceae
Also listed under: 1 other name
Description: tRNA-Thr (TGT) (tRNA-Thr-TGT-1-1)
Rfam family: tRNA
About the family: Transfer RNA (tRNA) molecules are approximately 80 nucleotides in length. Their secondary structure includes four short double-helical elements and three loops (D, anti-codon, and T loops).
Source: RNAcentral